AAGGCUUUAAGUUAAUUAAACUAUUAUCCUUCAAAGUUAAAAAUAUAAUUUUGUUGUAAGCCUUA
RNAcentral lists this transfer RNA (65 nucleotides) under Tettigades opaca. RNAcentral describes it as "tRNA-Trp". Lineage: Eukaryota; Metazoa; Arthropoda; Insecta; Hemiptera; Cicadidae. The record is from RNAcentral.